UACGGAGGGUGCAAGCGUUAUCCGGAUUUACUGGGUUUAAAGGGUGCGUAGGUGGGUUGGUAAGUCAGUGGUGAAAUACUUUCGCUUAACGAAGGAACUGCCAUUGAUACUAUCAAUCUUGAAUGUAGUGGAGGUAGGCGGAAUGCGUCAUGUAGCGGUGAAAUGCUUAGAUAUGACGCAGAACACCAAUUGCGAAGGCAGCUUGCCACACUACUAUUGACACUGAGGCACGAAAGCGUGGGGAUCAAACAGG
This 253-nucleotide ribosomal RNA is filed under the name uncultured bacterium. Its description in RNAcentral is "partial 16S ribosomal RNA". It matches the Rfam family "Bacterial small subunit ribosomal RNA", at positions 524 to 776 of the family's 1533-position model. The record is from RNAcentral.